AUCGCUUCUAGGCCUUUUGGCUAAGAUCAAGUGUAGUAUCUGUUCUUAUCAGUUUAAAAAAAGAGUUCCAGUUCAAGACAUAAAUUAAGUGCUUUUGAGAGAAAUUCUGUUAUGUACCACCCCCCAAAAUGAUUAGACAGGAUUUCUGUCAAUAGAAGAUAAAUAAGUAUUCAAAUAAUUUCA
This is a small nuclear RNA of Suricata suricatta (meerkat), 183 nucleotides long. Its record names the gene U2. It matches the Rfam family "U2 spliceosomal RNA". Rfam says of the family: U2 is a small nuclear RNA (snRNA) component of the spliceosome (involved in pre-mRNA splicing). Complementary binding between U2 snRNA (in an area lying towards the 5' end but 3' to hairpin I) and the branchpoint sequence (BPS) of the intron results the bulging out of an unpaired adenosine, on the BPS, which initiates a nucleophilic attack at the intronic 5' splice site, thus starting the first of two transesterification reactions that mediate splicing. NCBI's taxonomy places the organism in Eukaryota, Metazoa, Chordata, Mammalia, Carnivora, Herpestidae. The record is from Ensembl.